AAAAUGGCCUUGCUUAACUACAGUGAGAGUCCUUGAAAAAGUUGGACUAAAAGAUGGAGUGGACCACAAGUCGUAUCCACCAAAUACACCUUGGCUUUAGUCCAAGACUCAAAAGUUCUCUUCUGCCGUGUCUCUACAGUCUUGGACUUCUCAUUCUUCCUUGGCCUCGGGCUCAAGGAAAGGGUUUGGAUAUGCAGAAUGUACUCAAGCUCAAUGUCUAGGUGUACAGCUAUAGAACCUACUGUGCUAAGCGGCCUUGUGGAGUGAUCUUCUUACUAGUAAAAUUUGCACACCAAUAAUAAAACAAAGGUUGCAAAAUAAAGAGCUAUGGCAUCUGCAUAUACUGCUAGUUCAUGACAAACAUUUAUUGUCCAUCUCUUCAAAUUGAAAAGACUGCAGAGCCUGAAUUACCUGCAACGUUAUGCCUCUUAUGAAACAUCAGCCAGCCUAUAGAUAGAAGCUCCCUUUUCCAGCUUUAAGCAAGAGGAACCACAAUGAGAUACAGAUCUUGGUAUCAUGGACUGGUCACUUUUUACAACCAACACUACUUGUAAAAUAAGAUUUAUAAAUUAAUUCCUAUAAGCUAUUAAAAAUGCUCCAGUCAAGGUACUAAAAUUUUACCAUCGAGUUUGUGGUUUUGGGUUUGAUAAAAUGUUAACAUAAAAUAUCUUAAGAGUAAACGUUUUAAUGAUACUUCCAAGAUUUCCUAUAUUUUAAACAGAAUUUUAGAAUCUUGCAGAAAAAAAGAGAAGAAAUAAAAAGCUAUUAUUCUGUCAUGGAGGUUAUUGUUACCAAACUCACAUUACAUAGAUAAUUUUGUUCAUGGCAAUAAAUCUUAAAAUAUCAAAUUGGAAUUUCUUAAUUAGCAAUUCAUCUGAGCAGCAGUUUGAUGACCUAUUUGGAACUCUUCCUAGAGGCACUUCUUGCAUGACUAUGUAUCGAUAAUUACCUGU
Molecule: long non-coding RNA, 953 nt
Organism: Strongylocentrotus purpuratus (purple sea urchin)
Lineage: Eukaryota; Metazoa; Echinodermata; Echinoidea; Camarodonta; Strongylocentrotidae
Exons: 4
Source: RefSeq, a predicted model, not a curated record